This 253-nucleotide long non-coding RNA is filed under the name Trifolium pratense (red clover). Its description in RNAcentral is "long non-coding RNA (TPRA_LNC001731)". Lineage: Eukaryota; Viridiplantae; Streptophyta; Magnoliopsida; Fabales; Fabaceae. The record is from RNAcentral.
ACAAAGCUAGUCAUUUAACCAAUAUCAAAACAUAGAUAAAUACUAUACAAUUGUAAUUAAGCAUUCACUAUGCAAACCAAAUAGUGUCCUAUAAGAUUCUCUUCCAAUGUUUCUAUCUAAUUGUUCUUUGCACAAUAAUCAACCCCCACCUUAAAAAGAAAAGCACAUACAAAGCCUACUACAAAACCAAAGCUAAGCACGCCCGCCAACAUUUUUUUUGAAGAAGCUAAAUUAGCCAACCCAAAUUAGCACC